This 450-nucleotide ribosomal RNA is filed under the name uncultured bacterium. RNAcentral describes it as "partial 16S ribosomal RNA". It matches the Rfam family "Bacterial small subunit ribosomal RNA", at positions 338 to 795 of the family's 1533-position model. The record is from RNAcentral.
CCUACGGGGGGCAGCAGUGGGGAAUUUUGGACAAUGGGCGCAAGCCUGAUCCAGCCAUUCCGCGUGAGUGAAGAAGGCCUUCGGGUUGUAAAGCUCUUUCGCAAGGGAAGAAAACUUAUCCUCUAACAUAGGAUGAGGUUGACGGUACCUUGAUAAGAAGCACCGGCUAACUACGUGCCAGCAGCCGCGGUAAUACGUAGGGUACUUACGUUAAUCGGAAUUACUGGGCGUAAAGUUGUAGGACGGAUGUGAAAUCCCCGAGCUCAACUUGGGAACUGCGUUUGAAACUACAAGACUAGAAUAGGUCAGAGGGGGGUAGAAUGCCACGUGUAGCAGUGAAAUGCGUAGAGAUGUGGAGGAAUAUCAAUGGCGAAGGCAGCCCCCUGGGAUCAUAUUGACGCUCAUGCACGAAAGCGUGGGGAGCAAACAGGAUUAGAUACCCGAGUAGUC